This 54-nucleotide ribosomal RNA is filed under the name Colletotrichum gloeosporioides. RNAcentral describes it as "28S ribosomal RNA". Lineage: Eukaryota; Fungi; Ascomycota; Sordariomycetes; Glomerellales; Glomerellaceae. The record is from RNAcentral.
CAAAGGUUGACCUCGGAUCAGGUAGGAAUACCCGCUGAACUUAAGCAUAUCAAA